GUGGGGAAUAUUGGACAAUGGGCGCAAGCCUGAUCCAGCCAUGCCGCGUGAGUGAUGAAGGCCCUAGGGUUGUAAAGCUCUUUCACCGGUGAAGAUAAUGACGGUAACCGGAGAAGAAGCCCCGGCUAACUUCGUGCCAGCAGCCGCGGUAAUACGAAGGGGGCUAGCGUUGUUCGGAAUUACUGGGCGUAAAGCGCACGUAGGCGGACAUUUAAGUCAGGGGUGAAAUCCCAGAGCUCAACUCUGGAACUGCCUUUGAUACUGGGUGUCUUGAGUAAGGAAGAGGUAAGUGGAAUUACGAGUGUAGAGGUGAAAUUCGUAGAUAUUCGGAGGAAGACCAGUGGCUAAGGCGGCUUAGUGGUCCAUUACUGACGCUGAGGUGCGAAAGCGUGGGGAGCAAACAGGAUUAGAUACCCGGGUAGUCC
RNAcentral lists this ribosomal RNA (425 nucleotides) under uncultured bacterium. Its description in RNAcentral is "partial 16S ribosomal RNA". It matches the Rfam family "Bacterial small subunit ribosomal RNA", at positions 354 to 796 of the family's 1533-position model. The record is from RNAcentral.